This 2469-nucleotide ribosomal RNA is filed under the name Escherichia coli. Its description in RNAcentral is "partial 23S ribosomal RNA". It matches the Rfam family "Bacterial large subunit ribosomal RNA", at positions 488 to 2925 of the family's 2925-position model. The record is from RNAcentral. Lineage: Bacteria; Pseudomonadati; Pseudomonadota; Gammaproteobacteria; Enterobacterales; Enterobacteriaceae.
UAGUGAACCAGUACCGUGAGGGAAAGGCGAAAAGAACCCCGGCGAGGGGAGUGAAAAAGAACCUGAAACCGUGUACGUACAAGCAGUGGGAGCCUCUUUAUGGGGUGACUGCGUACCUUUUGUAUAAUGGGUCAGCGACUUAUAUUCUGUAGCAAGGUUAACCGAAUAGGGGAGCCGAAGGGAAACCGAGUCUUAACUGGGCGUUAAGUUGCAGGGUAUAGACCCGAAACCCGGUGAUCUAGCCAUGGGCAGGUUGAAGGUUGGGUAACACUAACUGGAGGACCGAACCGACUAAUGUUGAAAAAUUAGCGGAUGACUUGUGGCUGGGGGUGAAAGGCCAAUCAAACCGGGAGAUAGCUGGUUCUCCCCGAAAGCUAUUUAGGUAGCGCCUCGUGAAUUCAUCUCCGGGGGUAGAGCACUGUUUCGGCAAGGGGGUCAUCCCGACUUACCAACCCGAUGCAAACUGCGAAUACCGGAGAAUGUUAUCACGGGAGACACACGGCGGGUGCUAACGUCCGUCGUGAAGAGGGAAACAACCCAGACCGCCAGCUAAGGUCCCAAAGUCAUGGUUAAGUGGGAAACGAUGUGGGAAGGCCCAGACAGCCAGGAUGUUGGCUUAGAAGCAGCCAUCAUUUAAAGAAAGCGUAAUAGCUCACUGGUCGAGUCGGCCUGCGCGGAAGAUGUAACGGGGCUAAACCAUGCACCGAAGCUGCGGCAGCGACACUAUGUGUUGUUGGGUAGGGGAGCGUUCUGUAAGCCUGUGAAGGUGGCCUGUGAGGGUUGCUGGAGGUAUCAGAAGUGCGAAUGCUGACAUAAGUAACGAUAAAGCGGGUGAAAAGCCCGCUCGCCGGAAGACCAAGGGUUCCUGUCCAACGUUAAUCGGGGCAGGGUGAGUCGACCCCUAAGGCGAGGCCGAAAGGCGUAGUCGAUGGGAAACAGGUUAAUAUUCCUGUACUUGGUGUUACUGCGAAGGGGGGACGGAGAAGGCUAUGUUGGCCGGGCGACGGUUGUCCCGGUUUAAGCGUGUAGGCUGGUUUUCCAGGCAAAUCCGGAAAACCAAGGCUGAGGCGUGAUGACGAGGCACUACGGUGCUGAAGCGACAAAUGCCCUGCUUCCAGGAAAAGCCUCUAAGCAUCAGGUAACAUCAAAUCGUACCCCAAACCGACACAGGUGGUCAGGUAGAGAAUACCAAGGCGCUUGAGAGAACUCGGGUGAAGGAACUAGGCAAAAUGGUGCCGUAACUUCGGGAGAAGGCACGCUGAUAUGUAGGUGAAGCGACUUGCUCGUGGAGCUGAAAUCAGUCGAAGAUACCAGCUGGCUGCAACUGUUUAUUAAAAACACAGCACUGUGCAAACACGAAAGUGGACGUAUACGGUGUGACGCCUGCCCGGUGCCGGAAGGUUAAUUGAUGGGGUUAGCGGUAACGCGAAGCUCUUGAUCGAAGCCCCGGUAAACGGCGGCCGUAACUAUAACGGUCCUAAGGUAGCGAAAUUCCUUGUCGGGUAAGUUCCGACCUGCACGAAUGGCGUAAUGAUGGCCAGGCUGUCUCCACCCGAGACUCAGUGAAAUUGAACUCGCUGUGAAGAUGCAGUGUACCCGCGGCAAGACGGAAAGACCCCGUGAACCUUUACUAUAGCUUGACACUGAACAUUGAGCCUUGAUGUGUAGGAUAGGUGGGAGGCUUUGAAGUGUGGACGCCAGUCUGCAUGGAGCCGACCUUGAAAUACCACCCUUUAAUGUUUGAUGUUCUAACGUUGGCCCGUAAUCCGGGUUGCGGACAGUGUCUGGUGGGUAGUUUGACUGGGGCGGUCUCCUCCUAAAGAGUAACGGAGGAGCACGAAGGUUGGCUAAUCCUGGUCGGACAUCAGGAGGUUAGUGCAAUGGCAUAAGCCAGCUUGACUGCGAGCGUGACGGCGCGAGCAGGUGCGAAAGCAGGUCAUAGUGAUCCGGUGGUUCUGAAUGGAAGGGCCAUCGCUCAACGGAUAAAAGGUACUCCGGGGAUAACAGGCUGAUACCGCCCAAGAGUUCAUAUCGACGGCGGUGUUUGGCACCUCGAUGUCGGCUCAUCACAUCCUGGGGCUGAAGUAGGUCCCAAGGGUAUGGCUGUUCGCCAUUUAAAGUGGUACGCGAGCUGGGUUUAGAACGUCGUGAGACAGUUCGGUCCCUAUCUGCCGUGGGCGCUGGAGAACUGAGGGGGGCUGCUCCUAGUACGAGAGGACCGGAGUGGACGCAUCACUGGUGUUCGGGUUGUCAUGCCAAUGGCACUGCCCGGUAGCUAAAUGCGGAAGAGAUAAGUGCUGAAAGCAUCUAAGCACGAAACUUGCCCCGAGAUGAGUUCUCCCUGAGACUUAGAGUCUCCUGAAGGAACGUUGAAGACGACGACGUUGAUAGGCCGGGUGUGUAAGCGCAGCGAUGCGUUGAGCUAACCGGUACUAAUGAACCGUGAGGCUUAACCUUACAACGCCGAAG